GCCUCGUCCUGCGGCUCUUCGUAGCCGUUCUCCACGAUCUCCCAAACGUCGUGGGCUCCCAAUAGCGCCUUCAUCUUGAUGCUCCAAUUGUCGAAGUUGCUCUUGUUGAGCAUGGGGACUUGAAACGAUUGUAGGUUGGCCAUUCCACAGGUAGGAUUUUAUGGCUCGGAUACCACUUUGUUGGAAUAUAAGUAUAUAUAAUGGAGAAUUUAUUUAAUUGGUAGGAGAAAAUUUGGAGAAAUUGGUUGUGGACGUGUGUGUGCUUAGGAAUUUGAGUGGGAGGAUUGUUGUUUACUAACAAAAUUUUUCUUCAAUUCACUUCAUUCUC
This 328-nucleotide long non-coding RNA is filed under the name Salvia miltiorrhiza (redroot sage). RNAcentral describes it as "long non-coding RNA (SMIL_LNC014262)". The record is from RNAcentral. Lineage: Eukaryota; Viridiplantae; Streptophyta; Magnoliopsida; Lamiales; Lamiaceae.